UGAGGGUGAGAGGCGAGGCGGGCCGUUUCCUCCUCCGCCUCUGCCUCUACUGCUUUCUUCGGAGAGAGAAAAAAAAAUGAACGAGAGGAAAAAUAGAUGAGAGAAAAAAAAAUGAACGAGAGAAAGAAAAAAUUGAGAGAGAAAAAGUAAUAAGGGUAUUUUAGUUAGUUUACUGAAAAUUCGAACCGAAUCUACAAAAUCGAAAAAGACGACCCAAUUUUGCAAAAACUCAAAAUUUGUGGAUUUUUUUAUACAAAUUGGCUUUAUUUUUAAAAGAAAGGGCAAAAAGAAAAGGCAUCUUUUUGGUUAAAAUGACUACAAUGUACUCACUAACAUUCAAAAAUUUAACUAUUAGAGAGAACAUUUUGAUCAAGAACUAAAAAUUAAUAAUAUUAUAAAGUUGACUUUAUUGUUAGUAUUGUAGUUUUUUAAAAAACUUGUAAAAUUUUUAAAAUAUUUUUAAAAAAAAUAGAUAUAGUUGUAUAAAUUAAAAACUAUUAGUCAAAAAGGUAUAAUU
This 517-nucleotide long non-coding RNA is filed under the name Ananas comosus (pineapple). RNAcentral describes it as "long non-coding RNA (ACOM_LNC032076)". Lineage: Eukaryota; Viridiplantae; Streptophyta; Magnoliopsida; Poales; Bromeliaceae. The record is from RNAcentral.